Molecule: non-coding RNA, 74 nt
Organism: Biomphalaria glabrata
Lineage: Eukaryota; Metazoa; Mollusca; Gastropoda; Planorbidae
Source: Rfam
GUGCUUGUAGCUCAAUUGGACAGAGCGUUUGACUACGGAUCAAAAGGUUACGAGUUCAACUCUUGUCAAGCACG